GCAGAAACCACAUUGUGAUGCUUUUUUCGUCUGCCACAGAAACAUUCCAGGGUACUGUGACUCCCUUGACCUGUCAAGGGUGACGCAGCUGCCCUGGGACACGGGG
Pteronotus mesoamericanus is the source of this 106-nucleotide small nucleolar RNA. RefSeq annotates it as small nucleolar RNA SNORA77. Lineage: Eukaryota; Metazoa; Chordata; Mammalia; Chiroptera; Mormoopidae. The record is from RefSeq and is a predicted model, not a curated record. The transcript has a single exon.